GCAUAUCAAUAAGCGGAGGAAAAGAAACUAACAAGGAUUCCCCUAGUAACGGCGAGUGAAGCGGGAAGAGCUCAAAUUUGUAAUCUGGCACCUUCGGUGUCCGAGUUGUAAUCUCGAGAAGUGUUUUCCGCGCCGGACCGCAUACAAGUCUGUUGGAAUACAGCGUCAUAGUGGUGAGAACCCCGUAACUGAUGCGGAUGCCCGGUGCUUUGUGAUACACUUUCGAAGAGUCGAGUUGUUUGGGAAUGCAGCUCAAAUUGGGUGGUAAAUUCCAUCUAAAGCUAAAUAUUGGCGAGAGACCGAUAGCGAACAAGUACCGUGAGGGAAAGAUGAAAAGCACUUUGGAAAGAGAGUUAACAGUACGUGAAAUUGUUGGAAGGGAAACGCUUGAAGUCAGACUUGCUAUUUGGAAUUCAGCCGCAAGGUGUACUUUUCAAUUCGCAGGCCAGCAUCAGUUUUCGGGGGUGGAAAAGGGUAGAGAGAAGGUAGCAAUUUCGGUUGUGUUAUAGCUCUUUGCUGGAUUCAUCCUUGGGGACUGAGGAACGCAGCACGCUUUUUGCAAGGCUUUCGAGCUUUUCGUGCUUAGGAUGCUGGUGGAAUGGCUUUAAACGACCCGUCUUGAAACACGGACCAAGGAGUCUAACAUGCUUGCGAGUGUUU
Molecule: ribosomal RNA, 660 nt
Filed under: Phenoliferia psychrophenolica
Lineage: Eukaryota; Fungi; Basidiomycota; Microbotryomycetes; Kriegeriales; Kriegeriaceae
Also listed under: 1 other name
Description: LSU rRNA
Rfam family: Eukaryotic large subunit ribosomal RNA
Source: RNAcentral